GACGAAGGGGGCUAGCGUUGUUCGGAAUUACUGGGCGUAAAGGGCGCGUAGGCGGUUUGUUAAGUCAGGCGUGAAAGCCCUGGGCUCAACCUGGGAUGUGCGUUUGAUACUGGCAAGCUUGAGUGCAGGAGAGGAUGGUGGAAUUCCCAGUGUAGAGGUGAAAUUCGUAGAUAUUGGGAAGAACACCGGUGGCGAAGGCGGCCAUCUGGACUGCAACUGACGCUGAGGCGCGAAAGCGUGGGGAGCAAACAGG
This 253-nucleotide ribosomal RNA is filed under the name uncultured bacterium. RNAcentral's name for it is "partial 16S ribosomal RNA". It matches the Rfam family "Bacterial small subunit ribosomal RNA", at positions 524 to 776 of the family's 1533-position model. The record is from RNAcentral. RNAcentral also lists the same sequence under 1 other name.